GAAGAAUGAAGAAGACUAGGUGGUCUUGUUAGAAGGUGGCAGUUAAAUAUCAGAACAUAUCCUCAUUCAAACCCAGCUCAGGUCUUCUUUAUUCCAACAUAGGCUGGUUGCCUUGAAUGACCCCGUAGACUAUAGGAAGAGCAUACAUGCCAAGGCCUCAUGGAUUUGAGAAUCAGUCGCAUAAAUGAUUAUACCUCAUCCCUUCUUGGUGGUACUCAAGAGUUUUAGCACAAUUCCCUCCCUCUCUUUUAUAACCUUUGCACUUCACUAGCUGAACAUCAUGAGCAGUUUUCAAUUGUAACUGGUAUGCUAAAGAUUAAGUCUUGCUAAUGCUUACAAAGUCCUUUCACUGGGAGAUAAGCCAAACAUUUCACUCAAGUCAUUCAAAGAUUCCAUCUAAGAAUAAUUAUUUUACCAUUUUAAAAGAACAGCCAACAUUUAUAUUGCCUGUUAAAAUUCUAUUAUCUAUUUCAAAGAUUACUUAAACUAAAGGAAAACAGUCUUAAUUUGAAAGAACACAUUCUACUAUUACUCUUAAUUGGUAAUUGUCUUUGUUAGGGUUUUAUUCCUGUGAACAGACACCAUGACCAAAGCAACUCUUAUAAAGGAAAACAUUUAAUUGGGGGCUGGCUUACAGUUUCAGAGGUUCAGUCCACCAUCAUCCUGAUAGGAAGCGUGGCAGCAUCCAGGCUGAUAUGGUGCUGGAGGUUGAGAGUUCUAGAUUUUAAUUCAAAGGUAGCAGCAGGAGACUUGGAUCACAUUGGCCAGAUUUAAGCAUAUAUAUGAGACAUCAAAGCCCCCCUCCUCUACACUGACUAACUUCUCCUAAUAAGGCCACACCUCCUCCAAUAAGGCCACACCCCCUACGAGUGCCGCUUCCCAUGGGGCAAGCAUAUACAAAGCACCACAGUAAUGUAGUCACAAAACAAUAUUUUAAAUUUCAGCAAAUAAUAUAAUUUGCAUUUAAGAGAUGACAGUUGCAAAGUGGUGUGAGGCAAAGGCAGAUGGAUUUCUGAGUGCCAAGGCCAGCCUGUUCUACAACGUGAGUUCCAAGACAUCCAGGGCUACAAAGAGAAACCCUGUACUGCCAAAAAGCCAAAGCCAAAAAAAAAAAAAAAGAGUGAGGGAGGACAAUUAUAGUCAUCAUUGGUUUUUCUUUCAAGACCAGGCACAUAGCAUAACGAGGGUCUUUUACCACACAGGACAAUCUGCCAUUAUUUCCCUUAUUUAAAAAGUCCACCUGUGCUUCUCAAACUGUUGGCCCUGUGGCCACAGCAGUGCAGAAAUGAGGAGAGACUAGAAUAGAAUGGUUGCAAAGUUAUCCUCUGAGGUAAGUGCUUAUAUUAAGAACUUUAAUAAGCUAUACAUAUAAAAAAAAUUCUGAGACAAGGUUUUAUAUUUCCCAGGCUGGCCUUGAAUUCACUUUGUAGCCCAGACUCAAACUCACACAGUGAUGAUCUCUCAGCUGUUUCUGAUCUAGGGUUACAAACAUAGGCCACCACUCCCAUAACCAUGCUUGUGUCUUUAAAUUCUCUAUUAGCUACAUUCCAAAAAGACAAUAUGAAAUUAAUGAUAACAUAUUUUAAUCCAGUAUACAUGUAUUAUUACAUCAAAACUUGAAUUAAUGUCAUAAUUUGAAUCUAUUUUGUACUGUUUCUAAAUUAGCAGUCUAGGCACUUUACAUCGGGUGGUCACGAGCCGCAUUAAGCCAGGGGUUCCUAUGGUAGGCACACUGGUCUAGCCUAGAGCACUUUUCUUCUGAGCAAAGUGGGACUUGAGUUUCUACGGUCAGAUCUGGGCUGAUUUAGUUUUCUGCAUUGGUAAGUUGGUGAGCAGCUAAGAUACAAAUGUGUAGAAAUAAAAAUCCUGGCUACUCCUAGACAUGACAUGGGUUGUCUUAGAGAAGUGAUCUGCAUUAUUCCUUGAAAGUAACACUUCCUUAGGCAUUACCAAAUUGUGUGUGUACUGGUCAGAGUCCAGCUUAUCCACAUUUGGCUCUGAAAACCUGACUGCACCCCAGUUUCCUGAGUACUGCCAGAGAGCAAACAGAAUUUCCACUUAGCAGAAAUUACUGUGGGCCCACCGUGCAUCACCACUGAGCAGCCUAUAUACAGAAUCCAGUCUCUAAAAACUGGACUAAGCUGGACAUCAUCCUCACAUUGCAAGCAAACUUUCUAGAAGCCUCCUGGAAAGUACAGUUGUAUGAUGGGUAUGUUAUGAUGGCGGUGAUGGAAAUAAACUCACGCCUGGCAUUUGUGAAGAUUCAUAGAAGGAACUGGUCCACACUGCCACUGACAGAUUUUUUUAAAAAAAAAAGACUUUUGGAAAUUUUUACAUGCUGAUUUUAGAAUAAUAUCCUACAGUCAUUCUACUGGCAGAUUUAUAGACAAGGAGAAGCUUGCCUUUUAAAGGGACCUCAAUUGUAUACCAUUUGAUAUUUUGUAAUGUAGAGAGUUCAGCA
Molecule: long non-coding RNA, 2461 nt
Filed under: Rattus norvegicus (Norway rat)
Lineage: Eukaryota; Metazoa; Chordata; Mammalia; Rodentia; Muridae
Description: long non-coding RNA NONRATT013305
Source: RNAcentral